RNAcentral lists this ribosomal RNA (402 nucleotides) under uncultured bacterium. RNAcentral describes it as "bacterial SSU rRNA". It matches the Rfam family "Bacterial small subunit ribosomal RNA", at positions 355 to 774 of the family's 1533-position model. The record is from RNAcentral.
UCGGGAAUUAUGGGCAAUGGGCGAAAGCCUGACCCAGCAACGCCGCGUGAGGGAUGAAGUAUUUCGGUAUGUAAACCUCGAAAGAAUGGGAAGAAUAAAUGACGGUACCAUUUAUAAGCUCCGGCUAACUACGUGCCAGCAGCCGCGGUAAUACGUAGGGAGCAAGCGUUGUUCGGAUUUACUGGGCGUAAAGGGCGCGUAGGCGGCGCGGUAAGUCACUUGUGAAAUCUCUGAGCUUAACUCAGAACGGCCAAGUGAUACUGCUGUGCUAGAGUGCGGAAGAGGCAACCGGAAUUCUUGGUGUAGCGGUGAAAUGCGUAGAUGUCAAGAGGAACACCUGAGGCGAAGGCGGGUUGCUGGGCCGACACUGACGCUGAUGCGCGAAAGCCAGGGGAGCAAACG